AGGGGAUCUUCGGACCUUUCGCUAUGAGAUGAGCCUGCGUUAGAUUAGCUAGUUGGUAGGGUAAAGGCCUACCAAGGCGACGAUCUAUAGCUGGUCUGAGAGGACGAUCAGCCACACUGGGACUGAGACACGGCCCAGACUCCUACGGGAGGCAGCAGUGGGGAAUAUUGGACAAUGGGCGAAAGCCUGAUCCAGCAAUACCGCGUGUGUGAAGAAGGCCUUAGGGUUGUAAAGCACUUUCAAUUGGGAGGAAAACCUGUCGGUCAAUACCCGGUAGCUUGACAUUACCUUUAGAAGAAGCACCGGCUAACUCCGUGCCAGCAGCCGCGGUAAUACGGAGGGUGCGAGCGUUAAUCGGAAUUACUGGGCGUAAAGCGUGCGUAGGCGGUUAGUUAAGUCAGAUGUGAAAGCCCCGGGCUUAACCUGGGAACUGCAUUUGAUACUGGCUAACUAGAGUUUAAGAGAGGGGAGUGGAAUUUCAGGUGUAGCGGUGAAAUGCGUAGAGAUCUGAAGGAACACCAGUGGCGAAGGCGACUCCCUGGCUUAAAACUGACGCUGAGGUACGAAAGCGUGGGUAGCAAACAGGAUUAGAUACCCUGGUAGUCCACGCCGUAAACGAUGUCGACUAGC
This 630-nucleotide ribosomal RNA is filed under the name uncultured Methylobacter sp. RNAcentral's name for it is "bacterial SSU rRNA". It matches the Rfam family "Bacterial small subunit ribosomal RNA", at positions 202 to 820 of the family's 1533-position model. Lineage: Bacteria; Pseudomonadati; Pseudomonadota; Gammaproteobacteria; Methylococcales; Methylococcaceae. The record is from RNAcentral.